CCACCAGCUGGAGCUGGCGAGUAAGAAAUAAGAGAAGAAGAAGAACUCUUCCUCUAUGUUGUUACCUGCUGGCUGCAGCAAGAAGAGAACUUGCCUGAGAACAGGUGUAGGCAGACUUGAGAGUCGGACGAUAUGCUGGUUUUGUUUUGAUAUGUGGCGUCAGUGGAUGACAUCUGGGAAGAAGAGGAACAUUAUACCGACCAAGUGAGAGAACAUCUUCUCUGUGCUGAAGCUCUGAGAAAAGAUACAAGGUGUUGGGGGAUGAGCAGCAGACUGGGUUUAGACAACGACAUCAAGAAAACGCUGGAAAAGCAGCUGGAGAACCACAUGGAGGCUAAUCAGAAGCAGCUCAGCCGUCUCCGAGACGAGAUCGAUGCUGGACGAACUCACAGAAUAAGAAAACCCCAGCAAAGCAAAAUAUUCUCAAUACUCUGAUUAUUGUUUCAGAUUUCUUUUAUUUGUUUCUUAAAGAUAUUUAUUUGUCAUUUUAGCCUUUUUUAUUGAUAGUAGAUGGUGUAGAAUGGGAAUUACAUAGUAUAUGUCAAAACCACUUGACUGCUUUGUUUAUUUUUGAUUUUAAUUUUAUUAUUUGUUACCUUUGUUACUAAAUUAAUGGACUGACAGACAAUGAAGGUCUCCGUUAAAUCAUUGUAAGUCAUUUUAUGACCUAAAGGGCCAUAAAUGUAAUUAAAUAUAAGUCAAUAUUUAACUCCUUGUCAUCAUUACACACGGCACAUUGUGAUUACAUGAUCAGAUUAUCAAUGUAUGACCCAGUAUACCUACCUGUAUUUUGUGUUGUAUAAGGUUUUUGAUUUAUCUUCCAUGAAAAACGAAUGCAAAAAGUUAUUGGAGCUGGAGUGACGUUAUAUGUUUUGCAAAUGUUGAUGUAAUUGUCUCU
Long non-coding RNA from Sebastes umbrosus (honeycomb rockfish), 898 nucleotides. RefSeq lists it as uncharacterized. The transcript is spliced from 4 exons. The record is from RefSeq and is a predicted model, not a curated record. Lineage: Eukaryota; Metazoa; Chordata; Actinopteri; Perciformes; Sebastidae.